Molecule: ribosomal RNA, 519 nt
Filed under: uncultured bacterium
Lineage: Bacteria
Description: partial 16S ribosomal RNA
Rfam family: Bacterial small subunit ribosomal RNA
Source: RNAcentral
GACGAACGCUGGCGGCGUGCCUAAUACAUGCAAGUCGAGCGAGUCUGCCUUGAAGAUCGGAGUGCUUGCACUCUGUGAAACAAGAUACAGGCUAGCGGCGGACGGGUGAGUAAUACGUGGGUAACCUGCCCAAGAGAUCGGGAUAACACCUGGAAACAGCUGCUAAUACCGGAUAACAACAGAUGAUGCCUAUCACCUUUUUAAAAGAUGGUUCUGCUAUCACUCUUGGAUGGACCUGCGGUGCAUUAGCUAGUUGGUGGGGUAACGGCCUACCAAGGCGAUGAUGCAUAGCCGAGUUGAGAGACUGAUCAGCCACAUUGGGACUGAGACACGGCCCAGACUCCUACGGGAGGCAGCAGUAGGGAAUCUUCGACAAUGGACGCAAGUCUGAUGGAGCAACGCCGCGUGAGUGAAGAAGGGUUUCGGCUCGUAAAGCUCUGUUGUUGGUGAAGAAGGACAGCGGUAGUAACUGACCUUUGUUUGACGGUAAUCAAAUAGAAAGCCACGGCUAACUACGUG